GUUCAGUCUCGGAGGUAGAGCACUGGAUGGGCUAGGGGGCCUACAAGCUUACCGAACCCAGCCAAACUCCGAAUGCCGAGACUCCAGAGCACGGCAGUGAGACUACGGGGGAUGAGCUUCGUUAGUCGAAAGGGAAACAGCCCAGACCAUCAGCUAAGGCCCCUAAUUCAGGACUAAGUGGAAAACGAUGUGGGACUGCUUAGACAGCCAGGAGGUUGGCUUAGAAGCAGCCAUCCUUGAAAGAGUGCGUAAUAGCUCACUGGUCGAGUGGUCCUGCGCGGACAAUUUAACGGGGCUCAAGUCCUGAGCCGAAGCUAUGGACUUCAGCAUCUGCUGGAGUGGUAGAGGAGCGUCGAUGGUGCAGCGAAGCGGCGGGAGAACCCAGCCGUGGAGCGCCAUCGAGUGAGAAUGCAGGCAUGAGUAGCGAGAGAGGGGUGAGAAAACCCCUCCGCCGAAAAGCCCAAAGGGUUCCUGGGGGAAAGGCUAAAUCCUCCCAGGGUGAGUCGGGAGCU
This 512-nucleotide ribosomal RNA is filed under the name uncultured bacterium. Its description in RNAcentral is "bacterial LSU rRNA". It matches the Rfam family "Bacterial large subunit ribosomal RNA", at positions 888 to 1392 of the family's 2925-position model. The record is from RNAcentral.